This 1335-nucleotide long non-coding RNA is filed under the name Nicotiana tabacum (common tobacco). RNAcentral describes it as "long non-coding RNA (NTAB_LNC018232)". Lineage: Eukaryota; Viridiplantae; Streptophyta; Magnoliopsida; Solanales; Solanaceae. The record is from RNAcentral.
GGUCCCACAUCUCUCUCUCUCUUAAUUCAACCGACAACUUUUCUUCUUCCUCGGUUCUUCUUUUCCAGUUCUUGUUCUUCCUUUGUUUUUUCUUUUUUUUCCUCUUUCAUUUUGGAAUUGGGAAAUUAUGGUUGAUAAGAUAACCAUGGUUUUUUGGUUUCUUAUCUUAUGUACAAAAGUUCAGUGGGAAUAUUUAGCUUUUUGUUUUGUGAUUCUUGAUUGCAGGAUCUUGGCGAUAGUGUUAGCUUCUAGUUGAGAAAAUAUCUGAGAAUGCUUACCACCGGAAAAGCUCUCUGGACAGUGACAAAACUCGGAUGACCCCAUCCCCAUUCAUGUAAUUUUUCUCAUUCUUCUUCUUUUCUGUUUCAACAUGACCCCACCCCUCUUUUCUGUUCCGACAUCUAUUGGAAAUCUAUUUGGAAUUUACAGUCUACUGAUAAGUGAGACUACUUAUUAGCGCCUUUUAGCUUUUAUUUUAGUCCAAAAGUAUUUAAUUAUAUUCCCGAAAAUUGAUAAAUAUGCUUAUUUGCAGGAGCAUUGAAAAAUGAGCCAUUACGAUAAAAUCUAACUCAAGAAGGAGUGAUUUUGAACAAGGACAAAAAUCAAGCACACAAGCUCAAGUGCGGACCGCAGAUUUCUAUCUGCGGCCGCAAAAUGUGAAGAAGAAUCAACAGAGCUCCAGUGCAAAGUGCGGACCGCACAAUAAUUAUGCGGCCGUAGAAGUUAAAGUUCAGAGAGAUCAACUUCAAGCUAAAAAAUUAAUGUGGACUGCACUAUAAUUGUGCGGCCGCAGAAAUCAACUAUGGGACCGCACUCAGGAAAUGUGCGGUCCGCAAAAGAGCCCAGUGCGGUCGCACCCAGAAUUGUGCGGAUCGCAGAACUUAAGAGACGCGGCCGCAAUCCAGAAUUGUGCGGCUGCAGAACCAAAUCCUGUCAAGAGCUGAAGAGAAGUGCGGACCGCACACAGAAUUAUGCGGCCGCAGAACCUCCAAAAGGGCAUUUUUGUCCGAAAAUUCCAGCUGUUUAUAAAUAGACUUCUUUCAUGAAAUUAGGUCAAGUUUUGAAUACUGACAAGUCUGUAGCCGUUUUUCUUUACCGUUUUAGGAAACUUUAGCUUAUAUUGGUGAUUUAACCUUGGAUUUUCAUCUAUUAAUCUUGCAAUAUGAGUUUUAUCAUCUUUUAUUCUUUAUUUUCUUCAAUACCCAGUAUGAGUAGUAAGAUUUUUAGCUAGGGUUGUGACCCAACCCUAGUGUGUAAAUCUAAUGGAUGUUUGAUUUAUGGCUUGUUUAUGGUUGAGUGUUUAUUAUUUAGCCUUGUUAUUGCUUAUAAUUGUAG